This 521-nucleotide ribosomal RNA is filed under the name uncultured bacterium. RNAcentral's name for it is "bacterial SSU rRNA". It matches the Rfam family "Archaeal small subunit ribosomal RNA", at positions 345 to 866 of the family's 1478-position model. The record is from RNAcentral.
AACCUCCGCAAUGUGAGAAAUCGCGACGGGGGGAUCCCAAGUGCCAUUCUUAACGGGAUGGCUUUUCAUUAGUGUAAAGAGCUUUUGGAAUAAGGGCUGGGCAAGACCGGUGCCAGCCGCCGCGGUAACACCGGCAGCUCUAGUGGUAGCAAUUUUUAUUGGGCCUAAAGCGUCCGUAGCCGGUUUAAUAAGUCUCUGGUGAAAUCCUGCAGCUUAACUGUGGGAAUUGCUGGAGGUACUAUUAGACUUGAGACCGGGAGAGGUUGGAGGUACUCCCAGGGUAGAGGUGAAAUUCUGUAAUCCUGGGAGGACCGCCUGUUGCGAAGGCGUCUAACUGGAACGGUUCUGACGGUGAGGGACGAAAGUUAGGGGCGCGAACCGGAUUAGAUACCCGGGUAGUCCUAACUGUAAACGAUGCGGACUUGGUGUUGGGGUGGCUUUGAGCUGCUCCAGUGCCGAAGGGAAGCUGUUAAGUCCGCCGCCUGGGAAGUACGGUCGCAAGACUGAAACUUAAAGGAAUU